Non-coding RNA from Pelobates cultripes (western spadefoot toad), 208 nucleotides. NCBI's taxonomy places the organism in Eukaryota, Metazoa, Chordata, Amphibia, Anura, Pelobatidae. The record is from the annotation of a GenBank genome assembly.
GGGAGGGGGAGGCAGGCAUGCUCAAGUAGAGCUAACGGAGCAAAGGAAGUAGGAAGGAAUCAAACAGCCAGGGGGGAAUUCCCUGGUUAAUUUAUUUCUCAGCGAAAUCAGCACUUUUAUAAACUGAGGUUAAGACUCUUCAGCAAGCUGGGGUGCUUUUGGGGCAUGGAGUGGACCUUUAAGGUUGAGAGUUUCACUAUGUUCUCUG